GGCAGAGGCCUCAAGCGUUAGGCGGAAUCACUGGGCUUAAAGCGUGUGUAGGCGGAUCGUUAAGUGUCUUGUGAAAUCCCACGGCUCACCCGUGGAACGGCUGGGCAUACUGGCGAUCUUGGGCCAACUAGGGGCAACUGGAACAAGCAGUGGAGCGGUGAAAUGCGUAGAUAUCGCUUGGAACGCCGAAGGUGAAAACAGGUUGCUGGGGUUGUGCCGACGCUGAGACACGAAAGCCCAGGGGAGCAAACGGG
Molecule: ribosomal RNA, 254 nt
Filed under: uncultured bacterium
Lineage: Bacteria
Description: partial 16S ribosomal RNA
Rfam family: Bacterial small subunit ribosomal RNA
Source: RNAcentral